This is a non-coding RNA of Pristionchus pacificus, 61 nucleotides long. Lineage: Eukaryota; Metazoa; Nematoda; Chromadorea; Rhabditida; Neodiplogasteridae. The record is from Rfam.
UCUUCAUUUCCCACACUUUCUCACCGGCCAGAGAGACGAGAGAGUGUGCGAAAUGAAGAGA